UACGUAGGGGGCAAGCGUUAUCCGGAUUUACUGGGUGUAAAGGGAGCGUAGACGGCAGUGCGAGUCCGGAGUGAAAGCCCGGGGCUCAACCCUGGGACUGCUCUGGAAACUGUAAAGCUGGAGUGCGGGAGGGGCAGGCGGAAUUCCUGGUGUAGCGGUGAAAUGCGUAGAUAUCAGGAGGAACACCGGCGGCGAAGGCGGCCUGCUGGACCGUAACUGACGUUGAGGCUCGAAAGCGUGGGGAGCAAACAGG
This 253-nucleotide ribosomal RNA is filed under the name uncultured bacterium. Its description in RNAcentral is "partial 16S ribosomal RNA". It matches the Rfam family "Bacterial small subunit ribosomal RNA", at positions 524 to 776 of the family's 1533-position model. The record is from RNAcentral.